This is a non-coding RNA of Vicugna pacos (alpaca), 3930 nucleotides long. NCBI's taxonomy places the organism in Eukaryota, Metazoa, Chordata, Mammalia, Artiodactyla, Camelidae. The record is from RefSeq and is a predicted model, not a curated record.
CUCUGGUGAAUGUGGAAGUUUCUGGAGGCUUCUGGGAGUUCCUGAAGCCCUUAGGCGGUCUUUCUCAUGGGUGAGGCUGCGUCCCCGCCCAGUUAGUCGCCUGACCUGAGGUGUCGCAGCACGAGCGCGUCCAGGCUGUCAGGUGCGGCCGGGCGCUGGCGGAGGCCGGCAGCAAUGCCCUGCGGUAGGAGGAGGCCCCAAGUAUGGCUGCCGCCAGCGUCUGUGGCCCCGGGCUGAGCCGCGGUCCCCCGCCUCUCCGGGAGACCCUCCAAGACCAGAGGUUAGCUUUGGAAAGACUCACCAGCUCAGGACACACCCACCCCUAAGAGACAGGGCCGCCGGUGAAGGGAGAUGCAGUCCCAGUGACUCUCGGAAGCAGAAAAGCUCAGAGCUUAAGGAGAUGAGGAGCCUGAGGCUACGAGGGGUGGAGUGGGUUCCUCAGGAUGACACAACCAGCAAAUGGCAGAGCCAAGAUUUGAACUUGACUCACAAUCUUUUUGCAGUCCUCCCUGCCUCCCAAGAUGCAAUAUCAUGACUCUGUGUGGUCACCGUGUAGGAGAACAACUCGGAAAGCAGUGCUUUGGACCCAUUUCUACAGCAAGAUCGGCUUCAUUCAGCUAAGUGUGUUUUCUUCAAUUUUAAAAAUUAGGUUUGAAGAAAAACACAAAGCAUUGAAAAGUACAAGAAACUAGUGAUGCAUCUAUCCAUCCAUCCAUCUAAAACACACACACACACACACACUACAUACACUUGCACACACACAUAUGCAUAAGCUAAAUGAAGUUAAUUAAGUUAAAACUAGUAAAUCUGACAGACCAGAUUAACACAACGGUCAAAACUGUAGGAAAUAUAGUAUUUUGGAAAAAGAAUAAAUCCAGCCAAUUACAGAUUUAUGUUGACGCCAGCCCAGUUACCACAGUUUUACAAUAAUCGUUGAUCAAUCAACGUUUUAUGACAAAACUAUAAUUUUCAUGUGCUUCAUCCUCACCUAAAAGUUUCCUCGUUUGCUUAAUUCCCAGAACGUGAUUCCGUAAAUCUUUCUCUCUGCGAUAUUAAGUAGAUAAUAAGAAUGCCAUGAAAGAUUUGCUUAUGGUUUAAACCACAGUUGCAAAUGAUUUAUAAUUAGGGCCAAAUCUAAGACAAAACAUUAUUAAAGCCAAAACCUGCUCUAAAUUGGCCUGGUCUGCUUGGGGCUUUAGAAAUUUAUUGGGGUUUGAUGACAGUAUUUCCUUGGGUGAGAUCCAAGGGGUCAGCUGACACCAAGGGGAGAUAUUUAUGAGUAAGGGUAUGCUGUGGAAAUCACUGGGGCAUCCCUGGUGGCAACAGCCAAGGGAACAGACAUGACUCCAUGUGCCACCUUCAAGGGCAAAACUCUCAGUGUGGGUUCCUCCAGGCAAGUCAACUGCAAAUGUGUGACCCAGAGUCUGCCCUGCCUUCACAGGUCUGAGAGGAGAGUAUCCCCAGCAGGAGCCCAGUGUGACUGGAGCCUACUGUGAGUGAGGAGAGGGGUCAGGGCCUCUCCAGUGGGCUGAGAGGACCUUGGCUUUCACAGUGAUGGAGAGGCCGUCAGAGGGCUUUGAGUCAGGUAGUGAUCUAUCAGAACGGCAUUUUAAAAGUGUUUGUUCUGAGUGCUGUCUGGAGAACAGACUGUAGGGGGCAGGAGUGGAAGCAGAAAGGUAAGAAAGGAGAAUUUCCUGUCCACCAGCUGAAAAAGGAAGGUGGCUUAAACCAGGAGGUUGUGGUAGAGAGGGGAAAACAGGGUUGCGUUUGAGAUACUGUCUGUAAUUGAGUGGACAGAACUUGUUGACAGACUGGUUACUGGAUGUGACAAGAAGACAGGAGUAAAGGCCAAGUCUCAGGUUUCUGGCCUGAGCAAUGUGGUGAUCAUUGUUGCUGUUCCCUGAAGUGGAGAGGACUGGGGUGUGGCAACAGGUUGGAGAAAAGGACGGUAUGGCCUCAAGUCUCUGGUGAUGGGCGUGUGAAGUCUGAGGUGCCAUUAGUGUCCACCUGGGGAGGUCAGGGAGGCAGGUGGAUAUAUGAGUCUGGAGUCUAGGAGAGAGAUCAAGCUGGAGAUACAAAUUUUGAAGUCGUCAGCCCAAGGAUGAUUUUAAAGCCAUGAGAUCACCAAGAACUGAGGACAGAUAAGUCUAAGAGAAGGUCUGCAGGCUGAGCCUUGGAGCCUGAGACAUUUAGACAUCAGAAGAAAGGAGAUACCUAAGCCCAGGGCAUCAAGAAGGAGCUGUCAGUGACAUAGAAGAAAUUCAAGAGAAUGUGGUGUCCUGCAGGUGGCAAAAAACCAGGGUGAAGCCAUCAGUUGUAUCAAAGACUGGAGGAGGUCAAGUAAGAUGAAUAAUGGAACCUUACCGCUGGCUUUGGAAACAUGGCAGUCAUUGGCGACUGUGACAGAAAAGCUUGGAGUUAGUUCCUGGACCACACUUUGACAUCUCAUCAUCAGCCUUCACCAAGAGACAUUCCAAGAGUCAGCGGUGUAAAAAUCACUUCUUUUCUUGGAGGCAUGUCUUUGAGGAACGUCCUGCACCACAUCACAGCUCCUUAGGCACGAGCACCUAUGGGAGGUAUUUCUUCCAGAGGAACAUCAAGGAAAUCUUCUUUUGAGCAACUGACUGAACUUUCCAUCUUCAAACUCCUGGAUUCCUGUUUCCUUCUUUGCAUCGGCCACCAGUUGCCCAGCAGUGGCGUAGGAAUGCAUUUUUGUGUGCCAGACGUACUCUUGGCUCCCUCUUUUUCUUGUUGUUGUUGUUCUCAUUUUCCUGGUUACAUUGCCUGUUUACCUAGUCUGUGUUUAUUGUAUUUUUUUUAUAAGGGGGAGGUAAUUCGGUUUAUUCAUUGGUUUCCGCUCGGAGGAGGUACUGGGGAUUGAACCCAGGACCUCUUACCUACUGAGCGUGUGCUCUACUACUUGAGCUAUACCCUUCCCGCUAGUCUGUUUUUAUUUUAAUCCUCCUUUAACGUGUGCAUUUCUCUCAACUGUGUGUAUUUCUGGUGUGUGAUCACUGCAGAUCUUUUUGGAACCAUAUGGGGUGGGUAGUAAAUAGUGCAGCAAAUGCCAAAUGUUAUAGUGGUUUCAUAGAUACCACUGGGUCCUGAUUAAGGACUUGCAUGCAUUAUGAUGGAGAGGAAAUAGACCUGGGCACAGAGCCAGGGGAUAAUCUAGUUCUGGCUCUGCCACUAAAUAGCUGUGUGACCCUGGAAGAUCCAGUCUCCCUCUCUGAGCUUCACCUUCUUUGACUAUCACACACAGGGUUGUACUAGCUCAGGGUUAGCAAAUAUGAAGCACAUACGCACUGACCAUAAACCUCCGUAGCAGACAUCACUAAUCAAUAAGGCACUCUUUGGCAUUGAGCUCAAGUAAGACAUCAGAAUCCUUCUUAACACAGUACUUCAGGCUCCAAUGAUAAGUUAAUAGGAGUUGGUAUGCUAAAUGAGAUCUUCUUGCAGUACAGGACUAAAUGAUGUCUCAGAGUGAGGUGGACUGCUGGCCAUGAGCUAGAACUGUAGUAGUAUCUGUAGUGACAUUUGAUUGCCCCCAAGAAAAAAUUCCGUGGCAGAGGGGGUGGGAAAACUCUGUAAUAACUAUAAAGGGCACCAUGCAUAUCCUAGCAUUUGUCAUUGAAUAUGUCAUCAAGAAUGACAUUUGGACCAUGCCUUCUAUCUAUUUAAGAUGAGAGCUUGGAAACUUGAGAUACAAAGAAUUGCUACCUAUCCAAGUCUGAAUGCUUGUUUUCAGAGAAAGACAUGUCUUCUACUGGGAUAAGCAAAUUCAUUUAAUUUCUACAGUCUUUAAAAGCUUUUUGUGAACGUAACCCAGUAUUUCUAUUCAAAUCACCUUUCACAAGUCUGAGGGGAAAAUUUUUUUCUUAAUAGACAAUCUGGGUAAUUACUUUUUAAUUAAUUAAUUGAUUAAAGAAU